GUCCCUGUAGUGCAAUGGAUAGCGCGUUGGACUUCUAAUCCAAAGGUCGUGGGUUCGAAUCCCGCCUGGGAUA
Molecule: transfer RNA, 73 nt
Filed under: Trichonephila inaurata madagascariensis
Lineage: Eukaryota; Metazoa; Arthropoda; Arachnida; Araneae; Nephilidae
Rfam family: tRNA
About the family: Transfer RNA (tRNA) molecules are approximately 80 nucleotides in length.
Source: Rfam by way of RNAcentral